AACAACGCUGGCGGCGUGCCUAACACAUGCAAGUCGAACGCGAAAAUCGGCUUCGGCCGAUGAGUAAAGUGGCGCACGGGUGAGUAACGCGUGGAUAAUCUACCCUUCAGUUGGGAAUAACUUAUCGAAAGGUGAGCUAAUACCGAAUAAAACUGCCUGACCACGGUCGGGUAGUCAAAGAUAGCCUCUGCUUGCAAGCUUUCGCUGAAUGAUGAGUCCGCGUACCAUUAGCUAGUUGGUGGGGUAAUGGCCUACCAAGGCGACGAUGGUUAGCUGGUCUGAGAGGAUGAUCAGCCACACUGGAACUGAGACACGGUCCAGACUCCUACGGGAGGCAGCAGUGAGGAAUCUUGCGCAAUGGGGGAAACCCUGACGCAGCAACGCCGCGUGAGUGAGGAAGGUCUUCGGAUCGUAAAGCUCUGUCGGGUGGAAAGAAAUGUAUGGGGUUAAUAGCCUUCAUACUUGACGGUACCACCAAAGGAAGCACCGGCUAACUCCGUG
This 501-nucleotide ribosomal RNA is filed under the name uncultured bacterium. RNAcentral describes it as "bacterial SSU rRNA". It matches the Rfam family "Bacterial small subunit ribosomal RNA", at positions 32 to 507 of the family's 1533-position model. The record is from RNAcentral.